GAUGAAGAACGUAGCGAAACGCGAUAUGUAAUGUGAAUUGCAGAAUUCAGUGAAUCAUCGAAUCUUUGAACGCACAUGGCGCCUUCCAGUAUCCUGGGAGGCAUGCCUGUCCGAGCGUCGUUUCAACCCUCGAGCCCCCGUGGCCCGGCGUUGGGGAUCUGCCACGGCAGGCCCCUAAAACCAGUGGCGGACCCGAAGGCCCUCUCCUUUGCGCAGUAGCAUCAGCCUCGCAUUGGGAUCCCUCGACGUCCUGCCUCUAAACCCCCCACAAGUCCGCUCCGGCGGCACCAAGGUUGACCUCGGAUCAGGUAGGAAUACCCGCUGAACUUAAGCAUAUCAAUAAGCGGAGGA
Molecule: unclassified non-coding RNA, 351 nt
Filed under: soil metagenome
Description: partial contains 5.8S ribosomal RNA, internal transcribed spacer 2, and large subunit ribosomal RNA
Rfam family: 5.8S ribosomal RNA (bases 1-120)
Source: RNAcentral